This 460-nucleotide ribosomal RNA is filed under the name uncultured bacterium. Its description in RNAcentral is "partial 16S ribosomal RNA". It matches the Rfam family "Bacterial small subunit ribosomal RNA", at positions 338 to 795 of the family's 1533-position model. The record is from RNAcentral.
CCUACGGGCGGCUGCAGUGAGGAAUAUUGGUCAAUGGACGAGAGUCUGAACCAGCCAAGUAGCGUGAAGGAUGACUGCCCUAUGGGUUGUAAACUUCUUUUAUAUGGGAAUAAAAUGUUCCACGUGUGGGAUUUUGUAUGUACCAUAUGAAUAAGGAUCGGCUAACUCCGUUCCAGCAGCCGCGGUAAUACGGAGGAUCCGAGCGUUAGCCGGAUUUAUUGGGUUUAAAGGGAGCGUAGGUGGAUUGUUAAGUCAGUUGUGAAAGUUUGCGGCUCAACCGUAAAAUUGCAGUUGAAACUGGCAGUCGUGAGUACAGUAGAGGUGGGCGGAAUUCGUGGUGUAGCGGUGAAAUGCUUAGAUAUCACGAAGAACUCCGAUUGCGAAGGCAGCUCACUGGACUGCAACUGACACUGAGGCUCGAAAGUGUGGGUAUCAAACAGGAUUAGAUACCCCAGUAGUC